UGGGGAAUAUUGGACAAUGGGGGCAACCCUGAUCCAGCCAUGCCGCGUGUGUGAAGAAGGCCUUUUGGUUGUAAAGCACUUUAAGCAGUGAAGAAGACUCCAUGGUUAAUACCCAUGGACGAUGACAUUAGCUGCAGAAUAAGCACCGGCUAACUCUGUGCCAGCAGCCGCGGUAAUACAGAGGGUGCAAGCGUUAAUCGGAAUUACUGGGCGUAAAGCGAGCGUAGGUGGCUUGAUAAGUCAGAUGUGAAUGCCCCGGGCUUAACCUGGGAACGGGAUCUGAUACUGUUAGGCUAGAGUAGGUGAGAGGAAGGUAGAAUUCCAGGUGUAGCGGUGAAAUGCGUAGAGAUCUGGAGGAAUACCGAUGGCGAAGGCAGCCUUCUGGCAUCAUACUGACACUGAGGUUCGAAAGCGUGGGUAGCAAACAG
Molecule: ribosomal RNA, 428 nt
Filed under: uncultured bacterium
Lineage: Bacteria
Description: bacterial SSU rRNA
Rfam family: Bacterial small subunit ribosomal RNA
Source: RNAcentral